RNAcentral lists this ribosomal RNA (253 nucleotides) under uncultured bacterium. RNAcentral's name for it is "partial 16S ribosomal RNA". It matches the Rfam family "Bacterial small subunit ribosomal RNA", at positions 524 to 776 of the family's 1533-position model. The record is from RNAcentral.
UACGGGGGGGGCAAGCGUUGUUCGGAAUUACUGGGCGUAAAGGGCGCGUAGGCGGCCUGCUCAGUCGGACGUGAAAGCCCCAGGCUUAACCUGGGAACUGCGUCCGAUACUGGCAGGCUUGGAUUCGGGAGAGGGAUGUGGAAUUCCAGGUGUAGCGGUGAAAUGCGUAGAUAUCUGGAGGAACACCGGUGGCGAAGGCGGCAUCCUGGACCGGUAUUGACGCUGAGGCGCGAAAGCUAGGGGAGCAAACGGG